UUGACCACAAACAACAGCAGUCAUCCAAAUCAGCCAUCUGCUUCAAUGCUAGCUUUUGUGUAUGUCUCAAUUGGCCUACUUCUGGCAUUAGAUUGUUAUUUAUAUUCAGUUGGGCUAUGGUACCUUCCUGUCUCAACCUAUUCACUCAUUUGCUCAUCCCAGUUGGCUUUUAAUGCUUUAUUCUCAUACUUCCUCAAUUCACUCAAGUUCACACCUUACAUAGUAAACUCUUUAAUCCUUCUCACCAUUUCCUCUACCCUUCUUGUAUUUCAAAACGAGUCAUCAUCAGAUGAUUCAGACUCCACACAAAUAUCCAAGAAAAAGUAUGUGAUUGGAUUCAUAUGCACAGUUGGUGCAUCAGCAGGGUAUGGACUAUGGCUUUCCCUCACACAGCUUGUGUUCAAGAAGGUCAUGAAAGGGGAAACAUUCCAAGUGGUCAUGGACAUGAUAAUAUACACGUCUCUUGUUGCUACCUGUGUUACUGUAGUGGGACUUUUUGCUAGUGGUGAAUGGAAUGGUUUGACGAAUGAAAUGAAUGAGUAUGAGUUGGGGAAGGCUUCAUAUGUGUUGAACCUCACUUUCACAGCCACACUUUGGCAACUCUUUACAAUUAGUUGUUUUGGACUCAUCAGAGAGGUUUCUUCCCUCUUCUCAAAUGCCAUAAGCGCUUUGGGAGUGCCUAUUGUUCCAAUAUUGGCAGUGAUAUUCUUUCAUGACAAAAUGCACGGUAUCAAGGCUAUCUCUAUGGUGCUUGCUAUUUGGGGCAUUAUAUCAUAUGUGUAUCAACAGUACAUUGAUGACACCACGUCUGAAAACACAGUCAAUAGUCACGUUGCAAAACCUUCUGUACCUGAAGAAGAGGUUCAUAGAUAAGUUAGGUAGCCUUUUUAAGUCCAAUUUUGAGACUUAGAAACUCUAUCCCUGUUUGUAUUACAGAUUUACAACACUUACAAAUAUGUAUAUAUUACAUAUCAGUAAUUGAAUUUUGAAUUUAAUGGCUUUGCAAUGUGAACCAAUAAUCGAUAACAUGACUUUUAGGAUAGCUAAUAGAAAAAGCAAGAAACUUACUGUAGAUUGUAUUUUGGAUUGAAUGAUGAUAUCAAAGUUUGGCUUUUAGGCUGCAAAUCACCAUGUUGUAACCUCUAGUUCAAUCUGUCGGAUAAUUAUUGUACUUUAACUAUAUAUAAUAAAUCUCUGGCAUACUUCAUUUGUCGAGAAUGUAGAUAAAAAGACAACGAGUAACCUAAUAAGUCCAACAUUAAAUUUAUCAUCAAUCACCAAUCAUCAUUACUAAUCUAUAGAAAUGGUUUAAAACUUUGGGCCAAGUUCUGUAUAAUUGUAAGUAAUGGUAAUUGAAGAAUGAAGUCCGUUUCUUUCUCUAGCCAAUAAAUAUGAUCUGUUCAGACUCAGGUCUAAGAGGCCACUGAGAUGCAUUGUAGAGUAAAAACAUUCACUGAGAAGAAAGGCCUGAAGUACAUAACCCAUUACCACGUUUUGUUUAUUAAUUAACAAACUAUCACAUCACAACAGAUACACCCGAAUUUAUAAUGCAAAGGGUAAAUGUAAAGGAUAAUGAUACUUUGACAACAAUUUUUUGACAACAUUUUAAUAUCAUCUGUGUCAUUCUGUCAUUGGUUCAUGGUGAUUUUUAUGAUUAUUACUAUUGAUUGUAGAAUAAUUUUGGACCAAUCACAAUGAGAUGUCGGGAAAGUAUCGUCAUUCUUAAAGGAUAAUGUCAUGCUCACACGUCCACUUCAUAAACAAAAAGUGGAGGCUAUUAUAGUGUCAGCAGUGUGUAGGCUAAAAACAUAGAGGCACCAAUCGUAAUUAUGGCAAAGUUGAGGAGGUUAAGUUGGUACACUUUCUCUUUCUAUUGAUGACAUGUAGAAAUGUAUAAGGUAUAAAUUGCAUUUUCGAAUCACCCUCCUCUUAAAUUUAUCUUCAUUUCCAAUUCCCUUCUCUGAAAACUUAUUCACCUUCCACAUGGAAGAAACACAAGAAGUGCAACACUCCCAGAAACCUUUUUCACCAUCCACAUGGCAGACCCUCAAGAAGUGCAUCUCAGCAAAAUUGGUAAGUCAACUUUUUGUCUUUCAUAUUUAAAAACAACUGUGUUAGAAGGCACAAAACUGAGUAUAAAGAUUCCUUAUAUUUCUUUUCAUGCAGCAUGCAUCAUAUUUUGUUAUCAUAUUCACUGUACCUAUUUAUGCUUAACUGUUAUUAUAGGCUAAGAAAUCUUUCCAUUUCAGUGUAUACAGAACUUACAUAUAUUUUCAAGUGUUUUAUAACUAUUAUGUCUACGUUCAAAAACCUUGGUUUGGUCCUAAUUACGAUGGUUCCUCUAGAAUGAAAAUUUCUGAAUUACACAUUACAAUGUUGCCAGCAGCUUCUACAAAAACAACUUGAAAUAAACAGAAUCAUUGAACGUGAUGAUCUAUGCCAUCAACCACAACCUAGGCUGAGGUGGUAUUGUUGAUGGAAUUGUUUUGGUGGAGAUAGUUACUGAGAUGUAACAAGAGAAUAUUUCUCCCAAUAAACAAAAUUAAAAGACAACGUUACCUACUCUUUGAUGAGGUCUCAAGUUUUGAUUAUACUAUAAAAGAUUAGGAUUUGAAUUUUUUUUUUUUUUUUAUUUUCUAUGUUUAUAUCGAAGUUAGUUUAUCCUUAUUUUUCUUGUUUACGAAUAGUUAUACAAGGACUUAAUAAACAAACCUUUUCCAUAUCUGUACAAACAAGAAUGAUUUUAUAAUUACUCAUCGAGACAGAAAACAAAAACAAAAAACAUUUUCUAAUGACAGGCACUGUUAGCUUCAGUAGGAUAGAGAUGCAAAACGUCCAAUUAUAUCUCAAUCAAGACACAAUUCUUGUGCAUGCCAACUGGUUAAGCAUCAAACACAACCACCUUGAUAUUUUUCUGUAAUCAACCAACAACAACAAUAGUGGUAAUAAUAGUAGUAGAAGAAGAAAAUGAGUUUACAUAUCAAAGAAACUCUGCUUCUGAGGAAGUGACUUCUUUUGAAACAAAUCAGAAACAUAAAUAACAGCUUUGCCAAUCUAUUAUCAUAUAUUCUCUACGUUUAUGUAAUAAUAAUUUGGUAUGUUUUUCUUUAAGCUAACGGAGUCAAAGAAUCACAUUUCUUGGGGGACAAUAGUUUUCAUGGUCCAAUGAAUGAGUCAGCAAUGAGUAGGAAAAAAAUGUAUUACAGUUGGUUCAGAAUAGUCAUCCAUUCUGCACUUGUGUUGGUGUGUGGAUCAGCUGCGACACUCCUUGGAAGAUUGUACUAUGAAAAAGGUGGAAAGAGUAAAUGGAUGGGAACACUUGUUCAACUUGGUGGUUUCCCUAUUUUGCUUCCUUAUUACUUCAUCACAGCACCCAAAAAUUUGACCACAAACAACAGCAUUCAUCCAAAUCAGCCAUCUGCUACAAUGCUAGCAUUUGUCUAUGUCUCAAUUGGCCUGCUUCUGGCAUUAGGUUUUUAUUUAUAUUCAGUCGGGCUAUGGUACCUUCCUGUCUCAACCUAUUCACUCAUUUGCUCAUCCCAGUUGGCUUUUAAUGCUUUAUUCUCAUACUUCCUCAAUUCACUCAAGUUCACACCUUACAUGGUAAGCUCUUUAGUCCUUCUCACCAUUUCCUCUACCCUUCUUGUAGUUCAAAACGAG
This 3660-nucleotide long non-coding RNA is filed under the name Vigna radiata. RNAcentral's name for it is "long non-coding RNA (VRAD_LNC015959)". Lineage: Eukaryota; Viridiplantae; Streptophyta; Magnoliopsida; Fabales; Fabaceae. The record is from RNAcentral.